Molecule: long non-coding RNA, 5735 nt
Organism: Gallus gallus (chicken)
Lineage: Eukaryota; Metazoa; Chordata; Aves; Galliformes; Phasianidae
Exons: 2
Source: RefSeq, a predicted model, not a curated record
AUCUUACAUAAGGAUAUAAGAGCAGAUGAAGUAGGUCAUAGCAAAGAUCUAUAUAGCUCGAUAUCUCUCAGGAGUGACAAGCAAUGGACAUUACUGGAAACUGGCUGCCUGGGACUCCCCACUUGUGGCUGAAGUUGGAUUUUCCCUUGAAGGGGGAAGUUUUCCGGAGCAGAAGGAACUCACAGAGAAAUGAAUAUAAGUCUCCAGCUAAACUGAGCAUUGAGCAGAUUCCCCAAGGGACUAACAGAGGGACAAUGAAUUUCUUCCCUUGAACUACCUCUUCUAUGAACACUGUGUUCACACAACAGAAAAAAAAAGAAAGAAAAAGAAAAUUAAAAAAGAAAAACAAAGCAAACACUGAAAAGUAUGAACAAGAGCAUCAGAGGCAGAUACGAAAGCAGGGAUAAAGAGUAUCAGCUAUGCACACUUCUUUUGGCUGAUGCACCAGCUGAUCUCAGUAAGACUAAGGAGAAUCAAAGGACAAUGUUCUGCUCUACCACUCCUAAGAAAUAGAGAGAACAGCUGAAACUCUCAGGAAAGCUGGAAGAGAGAAGUUGGGCCAGGCAAGGAUUUUCAGAUCUAGUCCAGAAUGUUUCUGGUGGAGGUAACCCAGAACAGGACAGGAUAUGCAAAUCCAACUGGACAUGGAAAGAGUCAGUCUGUGCCUGCAGAUACAGCUUUCCUGGUAAUUACACUCCUGGGCAAGCACUGCCCUACAAUUUUGUCUGGUUAUAACGCAUGAACACAGUAUUCCUUUCUAAAAAGGCAAUAGCAGUUUGACCUCAAUAGAACCAUGAAAAUUGAUGUGCAUAAGGUACUAGACAUCCUUCUAACACACUUAAUGUAACCCCAUUGAAAUAUCAAGGAGAGUGGUGCGAUAAUAUCUUCCUUCAGUGCUGUUUUUCCUCUAACAUCUACUGCAUUGCGAACUUCCCCUUCUGUUCUGCUCUAUACUAUAUUUUGUCUUCAUAAUCCACAAACUUUCUAUUCUCCAUAUUCUUCUUCUUUCAUUUUGGUUUAGUGAUUCACCCUGCAUCUUCUUCAGGGUCAAGAAUUUCACAUGAUAUGAUGAGUGUGAAAUGUGGGGGCAUUUACAGGAACCUGGAAGCGUUUCUAUAAGCAUUCCUAUCAAGAAAGGAGCUUCAUAAGUCAGAAUUUGGGGUUUUUUUUCAGAUAAAGUAGUUUCAUGGAUUGUCUUCAGUGGUUUCCCUUUGUAUAAAAAAAGAAACUAAAAAAUAUUCAUUAUUGUUUCAUGAUGGCAUGAUCUGAACAGUUUCAGACCAAUCUUUAAUUAGCUCAACUCUUUUUGUAUCUGAUAGUGACAUCUUUUGUUUAUGUUGAAGUAGUGCAACUAACAUUCUUUUCUGUGGAUAGUUUCUUUGAAGGGGGAAUUUUGUGUCUGCAAUUCAACAGACACACAUUAUAUAGUAUGUAUUCUUUAAUUCACAAGUCCACUUAUGUCUUUGUCUUGUGUUAGGGAUGAAAUGAAGAUUCAGACAAGCACUGAAAUUUGUAUCUGGACUUGUAACAGAAUCAGACGUAGAAGUUUCUCACUUGACAUCCCACUUCCUUCCCAUAUCUCUACACUGCAUCUUGAGAUAAAAAAAAAAAGUUUAUACUAAAUCCUUAUAUCUCAGACACUAAUUCAUGCUAAAUUAUUGCUUUCUCCUCCUAUUUUAAGAAGACAUGAGUUAGACAGAGCCAUAGGAAAAGAUAUGUAUUAAUAGUUUCCUGUGGGUGUCUAUCAAUAUAUCUUGUCAUAAUCUAAAUCAGAGACCAAUUUUUAUGUGAAACAUACGAAAAUGGAAAAAAAUUGAAAACACGGAAGACUGUAUUUCAAUUCUGAUAUUCUCUUUUCUUGCACAUACAGAUAUUUUAACAGUAGCUUCAUUACCAAAAAGUGAGCAUUAAAAAAAAAAACCAAUAAGGCAGAAAUUGGAGUUUCAUUUCAAGACUGGACAUGAUUUUACUCACAGUAGUGUUGCCUGAGGAAACUUGGGUCCAAAUUUAAGCCUUCAAAGAACACAAUGCUCUCCUUCUCCUCAGUUUGAUGAAAUAAGCAGUGAGAAAACAAUGCAAUGAAAUAUUGAGAUUAACGGAAUAAGUACUCUACUGCAAAGGAACACUGCCCUAAUUGAUAUUAGGCAGUUCGUUACCUGUCAGGCUCUAGCUAACACCUCAAAAGUCUCUGUUUAUUCCUAAGAACUGGCAGAUACCUCAAUUCCAAUGUACAUUACUUCAGAAUAUAUCUGCCAGUUCUUAGGAAUAAGCAGAUUUUCAUACUUCAGAUGGGUGAGUCCUUCUUUGAUCAGCCACACUGUGUUAGUUACUUGGGGAACAAUUGGAAAGUUAGCCAGCAUCUUCACCACUUGAACAAACUGACAGAAAUAGGGACAGGUUUAGUCAAAAGCACAGCUUCCACACAGACCUCCAUGUGGAAGGCUAACACCUUGCAAAUUGAGCCAAUAGAAGAAACAGUUGCCUUCUCCACAUCCCAGAGCAGGAGUGUAGGAUCUCCCGAUGCGACUGUGUGAAGCUUUUGUACCCACAACCAAAGCACAGAAAAUCUUGUCUGCUCUGUGCUUAAUUAAGAAAAGGGACUCCCUUGCAAUUCUAUCUGCAGCUCGGUUCUCCUCCGAAAUCUUUUCUCUGUGGGAGUAGUGAGAUGAACCAGAAAGCUAGCUUUGCUCCUGAAAGUGCCAGAUGGGAAUUUCAGAGAAAGCUUGCCAUACACUGUGAGCCACAGAGAACAACUUUCCAGGAAAAGUCCCAGAAAUCACCAGUAGGAAAAAAAGCCUGUAGAGAAGUCUAGUCAUAAUCUUUUCUGAGCAAGAUUGGCCUCACUUCAGGUAUCACUGAGCAUUCACUCCCUCGCAUCCCUAAAAUAUUGCUAGGAAUGACCAAGUAUCAGACACAGACAAAGAUAUCCAAGCAUUUUACCAUGUUCCAAAACCGGUAUGAUACGUGGAAGAAAGCACAGCAUAAAGGUAUAAAGAUGACCUCAAAUUUGUUGCUCUGGUAAAAUAUCCAAAACUAUUCAAUCUGUCUUCUGCAGUAGACUUCUGCUGAACUGUGUUGAGCACCUUCCAACCCCUCUGUGCUCAGUCAAGCACAGUCAAAAGAUUGCAAGAACAGUCUCUUUUUCCCAGGAGUACAGUAAGUUAAUUAUAUUAAACAUGGGAAGGUGCUGUCCUACUAGAGUGACUCAGACAUCAUACAACAAAGAAAAUGUUGUUCACGACUACUUAUGUGCACUUUAAGAAGAGGGGGUGGGUAAAGGGGCAGAGGGACUCGCCUAGGUUGCAGAGCAAGUGGUAACAUUUAGGAGUUUUCUGGAAUUAAUAACCUAAUCUUGGCCUUUCAGCUCCAGAGAACACAUACAAGACUUUUAUCAUCUUUGUUGCCUAUUGCCUCUCACUUGCAGAGGAUGUGGGUGAUGUGGGCUACCAGAAAAUGUUGGUAGAAUAUGUUUCUUUUGCUUGAAUAUGUUCCUUUUGCUUGAGAGCACAUUUCACAGCUUAACUAACUGUUCAUUAAUAAUUUCAUACCGUAGCCUUGGGCCCUGUGAGGAUGGGAGAUAUCAAGCAAGCCAAAAUGAAAGCACAGUGUCGGAUCCUGCACUACUGUCUCUGAGUCAACCUUCCUUCAGGGACAAUAAGUCACUAAAAGAUAAGGCUGGUACAUAAACAAUGGAUAUGGUUGAUGGAUUUUACAAAAUAUUUUGUUUCAAUAUAAAUUACUAGUAUUUUAUUGUAGGUUUCAUCCCAUGCUUUAUGCCUCCAAAUAAUUCUAAAAUUCUUUCAACCACAAAUCAGUUUCUUAGUAGGUAAGUCUUCUAACUUUUGUCCUGUUUUCUCAGUACGGAGCUAUUUUAAACCAGAGCUGGUCAUGUUUCAAGAAAGCCGAACUUUACACUCAUCAGCAAACCUUAAACACAUUCCUUUACCAGGAAACACCUUGCUCAUCAUGUAAAGCUCUUCUACAUUAAGAAGAAGAAGGCACCUUUGGUGCAGACAUCAUGAUGUAGCAAUUCAUAUUUCUGAGGCAAAACGCUGGCUUCGGUAUCUUCUUAGAAAUUAACUACAAAAUUGCAAAACACCUGUGGUCAAUUGGCUGCCUACUGGAAGAGUUGAAAUAGAAUCCUACUGUCCCAACCAUGCUGGCCCUUAUGAGCAUCUUUGGAUAACAUAGAAAGAGUAAAAUUAGAACAAUAUGGCUUCAUUCAGUUUCUGAAGAAUUAAAGAGGUAUGCAUAAGGCCUGGAAAGUGUAGGGAGAAUGGGCAAAUGGCCUCAUUUUGUCUUUGUCAAAGCCCAGGAAAGUGAGCCAGAUACUACUGAAGGGAUAGGUGUACUCAGGGAGGCAGAAAUCGUAAGGGAAACAGUUGUGUUCAUCAUUCUUCUGUUGCCUCAGGAAUAUCUAAAUCUUUCCUAAGAUCCACUAUAUCCUACCUCCUAAUUCUUCUGUCUUCUACUUCUACCCAGCCUUGACAUCUUUGGGUACGCACUGGCACUGGGCUGGUUCUGACCAACAUACUGCCUUAGUAAGUCACCAGCACGAGCACAGUGAUACUGCUCACAUGGGAAACAUUCUGAGUCACCAACAAGGGAAGAGUUUUCUGGACAGUCAGGGAAACGAAACAAGGGCCAAUUGCAGAAUACAGAGACGAAGAAACUAAGGCUUAAACAGCUCCUGGAGAAAGGGAGGCCCACAGGCUAGGUAGUACUUUCAUCACUCAUAAUAUAGUUUCAUUAUGUAUGUGGUUCCUUUGCUUUCUCUCAUAACUUCCUCUUCAAAAGCUGGUGUAAUACACGUGCAAAGAUAUCAUGUUACUAUUGCACUGGGAGCAGCCUCUACAUACCUAUCAGAGUCCCCAGUAUCCUUCUUAAUCUCUCCAUGCAGACUCCACUAUUUUUGUGCACUUUAUAAGUGAGCUCAAAGUGUCUUCUCUCCCAGCUCCUUCAGCAUAACCCCCAGCCAGGUGAGUUUAAAGAAAAUCAAGCCCUAAAGUAUGCAACAGAACUUAGAUACUGCUAGAGCAGCCCAUCGGAGGAAGGAAGGAAGCAUGGGACUUUUAAACAACUUCUCCUUUUCACAAGACCUCCCUGUCAGGGCUCUCACAGGUCAGCACUGUCAAAUGUGCAGCUGCAUCGGGCAGCAGUCUCAUGCAAUUCAUUCACAACAGACCCUUUUCAAACUCAUGGAUUCAGUGUUAAUUUGGGUACCUUGGAAAGCUUGUUGCUGAGGGCUUAUAACCUGUUGUUUUUUGGGUUUUGUUUUUUGGGGUUUUUUUGGUUUUUUUUUUUUAGAAUUUACAUGGAAAAUACACUAUGUAACAGAGCUGAGCUCAGCUCCUCAGCAGAAGAUCUUAAUAGAAGCAGUGUAUGACAUGUUGUGAAUUGGUUUGGUUUACUGUGCACUGUAAUGCAUACUACUACCAUGAGAUUUAAUAUUAUUUAUCAGGAUUAUUAGGAUGUUCCAGGGAUCAAACUCUGCAGCAUCAGAGAUUGGCCAAGUACCCCAUCUGAAGUUCUGCUGCUACAUUAAUGAUAGAUUUACCAAUAUUGGAGGCUUAAACCCCCCAGAAGAUCAGCUCAUCCCUCCACAUUUCAAGUUACAAAGAUGACAAUACAGAUAUGAGAACUUUUCUGAACGGGUCUUCGUUUCCAAGGAAGAGUUUUGGAAUACAAACACUGAAACAUAAUUAAAUAAAUCCUCAUUAAAAAAUGGAACAAAA